This 495-nucleotide ribosomal RNA is filed under the name uncultured bacterium. Its description in RNAcentral is "partial 16S ribosomal RNA". It matches the Rfam family "Bacterial small subunit ribosomal RNA", at positions 28 to 507 of the family's 1533-position model. The record is from RNAcentral.
GACGAACGCUGGCGGCGUGCCUAAUACAUGCAAGUAGAACGCUGAAGGAGGAGCUUGCUUCUCUGGAUGAGUUGCGAACGGGUGAGUAACGCGUAGGUAACCUGCCUGGUAGCGGGGGAGAACUAUUGGAAACGAUAGCUAAUACCGCAUAAUAGUAGAUGUUGCAUGACAUUUGCUUAAAAGGUGCAAUUUCAUCACUACCAGAUGGACCUGCGUUGUAUUAGCUAGUUGGUGAGGUAACGGCUCACCAAGGCAACGAUACAUAGCCGACCUGAGAGGGUGAUCGGCCACACUGGGACUGAGACACGGCCCAGACUCCUACGGGAGGCAGCAGUAGGGAAUCCUCGGCAAUGGACGGAAGUCUGACCGAGCAACGCCGCGUGAGUGAAGAAGGUUUUCGGAUCGUAAAGCUCUGUUGUAAGAGAAGAACGAGUGUGAGAGUGGAAAGUUCACACUGUGACGGUAUCUUACCAGAAAGGGACGGCUAACUACGUG